CACACAAGGUGGAUGUGUCUCUGAGUAGAGGUGAGAGCUCCAGCUGGCAGCCUGUGGGGGCCGGUUGCGAAGGCCUCCCAUGCCCUGCAGGGACUUCAGGCUCUACUGAGGAGGCAGCAGAGAGCCAUCGCAGGCUUCCAGGGAGGUGAACCGUGUGCUCCAAGGUGACUCUGAAGGCAGGGUGGCGAACGGAUUGAGGGGAGAAGGGAGAAAAACUGGAAGCAGAGACCAGCUGGAAGGCCAUGCAGCUGGGCAGAUACCUAAGAACUGCUUCGCAGAGCCUCCCAUCAAGAGCCUCCAACUGAACAGGUCUGAGGUGGAGGCAGGAAUCUUCAUUCUAACAAGCACUCCAGGUGAUCUUCAGGCAAGUGGACCUCACACCUUGAGAACCACCUUUACUGAAGAUCUUCUUUUUUAUAAUUCUGCUAAGCCCAGGUCAUUGACAAAAGGUAAUGGGGCUGAGCGAAGUUCAUAAUGGAGUCUUCAUGGUAAAGUAUAUACGUGAGAACUUACGAGAAGCUUCCACCACUACACAAGAUUUUGUAACAAUACUUUUAUCAAAAAUCACAUAGCUACCACUAGUUGUCAAUUAUCAUUAAGAAGAUCUAAAUAUAGCAAAGUUUCAAAGUGAUAGGUAAAUUUUAAGACUAAAUGAUACACUGGAGUGAGCUCAAGUUACUGACUUUAGUUCCUUCUUAGGACGAUCCAGGCAUAUUUCAACCCAGUUCCAUUGUACGUGGGUGGCUUCAGCUGGUUCUGGACAAUGAUAACGCAGAGUAACUUUCUUUACCUCAAAUAAUGUCUUUCCUUAAUCUAUAGAAUACUGAACAUUCUUUAGCUUCAAGAUUAAAUCAUAUAUGAACGGUUUUCUUGAAUCUUGAGACACAAGUUUUCUAAGCAACAUUUAUAAUGAAGAUAACUGUUUUGCACCAAGUUCUCCAAAGAGACUUCCCUCCUAUUUUCUUCCUCAUUCAGAAAGUUCUGUGGUAUUAGUUCAUACGUUAUGUUUUAUAGAAUGGUGUUGAUGCAGGCUAAUGUCAACCCGUGGAAAGGACACCAAAGGGAAAACAUUCAAUGUUUAGGCGCUCGCCUG
Molecule: long non-coding RNA, 1093 nt
Filed under: Canis lupus familiaris (dog)
Lineage: Eukaryota; Metazoa; Chordata; Mammalia; Carnivora; Canidae
Description: lncRNA (ENSCAFG00000055327.1)
Source: RNAcentral